RNAcentral lists this transfer RNA (69 nucleotides) under Rattus norvegicus (Norway rat). It matches the Rfam family "tRNA". Rfam says of the family: Transfer RNA (tRNA) molecules are approximately 80 nucleotides in length. The record is from Rfam by way of RNAcentral. Lineage: Eukaryota; Metazoa; Chordata; Mammalia; Rodentia; Muridae.
GGGGAUUUAGCUCAGUGGUAGAGCGCUUGCCUAGCAAGCACAAGGCCCUGUGUUCGAUCCCCAGCUCCG